This 492-nucleotide ribosomal RNA is filed under the name uncultured bacterium. RNAcentral describes it as "partial 16S ribosomal RNA". It matches the Rfam family "Bacterial small subunit ribosomal RNA", at positions 29 to 507 of the family's 1533-position model. The record is from RNAcentral.
AGUGAACGCUGGCGGUAGGCCUAACACAUGCAAGUCGAACGGCAGCACAGUAAGAGCUUGCUCUUACGGGUGGCGAGUGGCGGACGGGUGAGGAAUACAUCGGAAUCUACUUUUUCGUGGGGGAUAACGUAGGGAAAAUUACGCUAAUACCGCAUACGACCUACGGGUGAAAGCAGGGGAUUUUCGGACCUUGCGCGAUUGAAUGAGCCGAUGUCGGAUUAGCUAGUUGGCGGGGUAAAGGCCCACCAAGGCGACGAUCCGUAGCUGGUCUGAGAGGAUGAUCAGCCACACUGGAACUGAGACACGGUCCAGACUCCUACGGGAGGCAGCAGUGGGGAAUAUUGGACAAUGGGCGCAAGCCUGAUCCAGCCAUACCGCGUGGGUGAAGAAGGCCUUCGGGUUGUAAAGCCCUUUUGUUGGGAAAGAAAAGCAGCAGGUUAAUACCCCGCUGUUCUGACGGUACCCAAAGAAUAAGCACCGGCUAACUUCGUG